This is a long non-coding RNA of Mobula hypostoma (lesser devil ray), 505 nucleotides long. RefSeq lists it as uncharacterized. Lineage: Eukaryota; Metazoa; Chordata; Chondrichthyes; Myliobatiformes; Myliobatidae. The transcript is spliced from 2 exons. The record is from RefSeq and is a predicted model, not a curated record.
GGUGAUCAGGUCGGCGUAUGACAGAUUGCCCCACGCAUUUCUCCGGGACGAUUUCUUUCGGUGGUGACUGAUCUCACUGACGCCCAGCACCGACUGGAUCGCCGGCACAGCCCUCGCGUCUGUCUUGAUGCCGACAUCCUCAAAACAGAAGGAAAACCCCGAAGAGUGAAUGACAGGAAAACGUUGAAACCGCAAAGUUCCCUGCUCCCCUUUCCAUGAACAAACAGCAGCAAAGCAUCAACCCUCCCUCUACUUAUUCCAGCAGGAGGCUUCAGCAUUCCCACUGCCCACUGUGCAAAGCCCCCAGAGAGAAACCAUGGUCUGUAGUACAUCAAAAGCUACUAUUCACCCCAACAGUUCGACAUCCCUCAGGUUCGCCCUCUCUCACUCACAAGGGAGAGAGAGAUAUCACUCCUUCCACAGUGAGAGGGGAGGUAAGCAGUCGCUGUUUCGAUGUUACAGUCUGUAGUGCCGCUUUUAUUUCGAGUUCCUCCGACUCGAGAUU